CUCAGCGAGGGCCAAGAUAAGCUACGCCCAAAGCUUGAGACGGAGCCUGAACCAACCAGCGUCCGGUUGACGUGCAGACCCACAGACCUGCAGCUCUGAGAAAAAAGAAAACAGCCCCCGUGUUGUGAGCUAUGCUAUGGAGAGGCCCACGUGGGGAAGAGGCUGGUGAGGAAUUCUGAGUCAGAGGCACCAAGGGGCACCCAGCUAAGGUGUGCCAGAUUCCUGACCAAUAGGCAUGCCACAGAUCACGAAGAAGUGUAAGUGGUGGCAGUCUGAGGCCUGCCAGCAGCCAUCAAUGUCAAGGAGCCAGCUUGGAAACAGACCAUGCAGCCCCGGUCAGGCCUUCAACUGAUUGCAGCCCUGGCUGACAUCUUGACUGCAGAAUCAUGAGCAACCUGGAGCCAGAAGCACCGAUUCAAGCUUCCUCUGAAUUCCUGACCAGCAGAAAUUGUGAGAUGGUGUGGCAAAGAAUAAUCUUUUCACGAGUGCAGGAAUAUCAGUAGAACACAUUUCUAGAAGGGAGAUCAUUGAGUC
Molecule: long non-coding RNA, 534 nt
Organism: Lynx canadensis (Canada lynx)
Lineage: Eukaryota; Metazoa; Chordata; Mammalia; Carnivora; Felidae
Exons: 4
Source: RefSeq, a predicted model, not a curated record